RNAcentral lists this ribosomal RNA (468 nucleotides) under uncultured bacterium. RNAcentral describes it as "partial 16S ribosomal RNA". It matches the Rfam family "Bacterial small subunit ribosomal RNA", at positions 28 to 507 of the family's 1533-position model. The record is from RNAcentral.
GACGAACGCUGGCGGCGUGCUUAACACAUGCAAGUCGAACGGAAAGGCCCUGCUUUUGUGGGGUGCUCGAGUGGCGAACGGGUGAGUAACACGUGAGUAACCUGCCCUUGACUUUGGGAUAACUUCAGGAAACUGGGGCUAAUACCGGAUAGGAGCUCCUGCUGCAUGGUGGGGGUUGGAAAGUUUCGGCGGUUGGGGAUGGACUCGCGGCUUAUCAGCUUGUUGGUGGGGUAGUGGCUUACCAAGGCUUUGACGGGUAGCCGGCCUGAGAGGGUGACCGGCCACAUUGGGACUGCGAUCCGGCCCAGACUCCUACGGGAGGCAGCAGUGGGGAAUAUUGCACAAUGGGCGGAAGCCUGAUGCAGCAACGCCGCGUGCGGGAUGACGGCCUUCGGGUUGUAAACCGCUUUCGCCUGUGACGAAGCGUGAGUGACGGUAAUGAGUAAAGAAGCACCGGCUAACUACGUG